RNAcentral lists this transfer RNA (72 nucleotides) under Thraustochytrium aureum. Its description in RNAcentral is "tRNA-Met". It matches the Rfam family "tRNA". Rfam says of the family: Transfer RNA (tRNA) molecules are approximately 80 nucleotides in length. Their secondary structure includes four short double-helical elements and three loops (D, anti-codon, and T loops). The record is from RNAcentral. Lineage: Eukaryota; Bigyra; Thraustochytrida; Thraustochytriidae.
GACGAUGUAGUUCAAUGGUAGAACGCGAGAAUCAUAAUCUUGAAGCUAUAGGUUCAAAUCCUUUCAUCGUUA